ACCUUUACUAUAACCUAUUAUUGGGUUCGGUUAUAACAUGCGUAGGAUAGGUGGGAGACUACGAAGUGAUCCUUGAGGGGGUCGCAGAGUCUAUGGUGAAAUACCACCCUUGUUAUGGCUGGAUUCUAACCGGAGGAGUGGAUCCUCGGGAACAGUGAUAGGCGGGUAGUUUGACUGGGGCGGUCGCCUCCUAAAUUGUAACGGAGGCUCACAAAGGUCACCUCAGCACGGUCGGUAAUCGUGCGGAGAGUGUAAAGGCAUAAGGUGGCUUAACUGUGAGACUAACAAGUCGAGCAGAUGCGAAAGCAGGUCUUAGUGAUCCGGCGGCUCCGAGUGGAAGGGCCGUCGCUCAAAGGAUAAAAGGUACGCUGGGGAUAACAGGCUGAUCUUGCCCAAGAGUUCACAUCGACGGCAAGGUUUGGCACCUCGAUGUCGGCUCAUCGCAUCCUGGGGCUGGAGAAGGUCCC
This 467-nucleotide ribosomal RNA is filed under the name uncultured bacterium. RNAcentral's name for it is "bacterial LSU rRNA". It matches the Rfam family "Bacterial large subunit ribosomal RNA", at positions 2097 to 2566 of the family's 2925-position model. The record is from RNAcentral.